RNAcentral lists this transfer RNA (90 nucleotides) under Planctomycetota bacterium. Its description in RNAcentral is "Planctomycetes bacterium (activated sludge metagenome) tRNA-Ser". It matches the Rfam family "tRNA". From Rfam's summary of the family: Transfer RNA (tRNA) molecules are approximately 80 nucleotides in length. Their secondary structure includes four short double-helical elements and three loops (D, anti-codon, and T loops). The record is from RNAcentral. Lineage: Bacteria; Pseudomonadati; Planctomycetota.
GGAGAGGUGCCUGAGCGGCUGAAGGGACUGGUUUCGAAAACCAGCGUGUGGGCAACUGCACCGAGGGUUCAAAUCCCUCCCUCUCCGCCA